RNAcentral lists this ribosomal RNA (253 nucleotides) under uncultured bacterium. RNAcentral describes it as "partial 16S ribosomal RNA". It matches the Rfam family "Bacterial small subunit ribosomal RNA", at positions 524 to 776 of the family's 1533-position model. The record is from RNAcentral.
UACGUAGGUGGCAAGCGUUGUCCGGAUUUACUGGGCGUAAAGAGCGCGCAGGCGGUCAUUCAAGUCGAGUGUGAAAGCCCCCGGCUCAACUGGGGAGGGUCACGCGAUACUGAUCGACUCGAAGGCAGGAGAGGGUAGUGGAGUUCCCGGUGUAGUGGUGAAAUGCGUAGAUAUCGGGAGGAACACCAGUGGCGAAGGCGACUACCUGGCCUGUUCUUGACGCUGAGGCGCGAAAGCUAGGGGAGCAAACGGG